UACGUAGGGGGCUAGCGUUGUCCGGAAUCAUUGGGCGUAAAGAGCGUGUAGGCGGUUCGAUAAGUCUGCUGUGAAAGUCAAAGGCUUAACCUUUGAAUGCCAGUGGAUACUGUCGGACUAGAGUGCGGAAGAGGCAAGUGGAAUUCCUGGUGUAGCGGUGAAAUGCGCAGAUAUCAGGAGGAACACCAACGGCGAAGGCAGCUUGCUGGGACGUUACUGACGCUGAGACGCGAAAGCGUGGGGAGCAAACAGG
Molecule: ribosomal RNA, 253 nt
Filed under: uncultured bacterium
Lineage: Bacteria
Description: partial 16S ribosomal RNA
Rfam family: Bacterial small subunit ribosomal RNA
Source: RNAcentral